Molecule: ribosomal RNA, 253 nt
Filed under: uncultured bacterium
Lineage: Bacteria
Description: partial 16S ribosomal RNA
Rfam family: Bacterial small subunit ribosomal RNA
Source: RNAcentral
UACGUAGGGGGCUAGCGUUGUCCGGAAUCAUUGGGCGUAAAGAGCGCGUAGGCGGCCAGAUAAGUCCGGUGUGAAAGUCAAAGGCUCAACCUUUGAAUGCCGCUGGAAACUGUCUGGCUAGAGUCCGGGAGGGGCGAGUGGAAUUCCUGGUGUAGCGGUGAAAUGCGCAGAUAUCAGGAGGAACACCGGUGGCGAAGGCGGAUCUCUGGGCCUUACCUGACGCUGAGGCGCGAAAGCUAGGGGAGCGAACAGG